Molecule: small RNA, 100 nt
Filed under: Sinorhizobium meliloti 2011
Lineage: Bacteria; Pseudomonadati; Pseudomonadota; Alphaproteobacteria; Hyphomicrobiales; Rhizobiaceae
Description: putative ncRNA
Source: RNAcentral
GGGCGGCCGCCGUUGAGCGCGGCCUUGACGGCAUCCAGCGCGAGCACGGCGCUUUCGAUCGCACUCUGAUCUGCGUCGCGCGCGAUUGUCAAAUCGGCAC